This 253-nucleotide ribosomal RNA is filed under the name uncultured bacterium. RNAcentral's name for it is "partial 16S ribosomal RNA". It matches the Rfam family "Bacterial small subunit ribosomal RNA", at positions 524 to 776 of the family's 1533-position model. The record is from RNAcentral.
UACGUAGGGGGCAAGCGUUGUCCGGAUUUAUUGGGCGUAAAGAGCGUGUAGGCGGCUUGGUAGGUCCGCUGUGAAAACUCGAGGCUCAACCUCGAGAUGUCGGCGGAAACCACUUGGCUAGAGUCCGGAAGAGGAGAGUGGAAUUCCUGGUGUAGCGGUGAAAUGCGUAGAUAUCUGGAGGAACACCGGUGGCGAAGGCGACGUCCUGGACCGGCAUUGACGCUGAGGCGCGAAAGCCAGGGGAGCAAACGGG